This 274-nucleotide ribosomal RNA is filed under the name uncultured Eubacteriales bacterium. Its description in RNAcentral is "uncultured Clostridiales bacterium partial 16S ribosomal RNA". It matches the Rfam family "Bacterial small subunit ribosomal RNA", at positions 65 to 339 of the family's 1533-position model. Lineage: Bacteria; Bacillati; Bacillota; Clostridia; Eubacteriales. The record is from RNAcentral.
AGCUGAGAGGAGCUUGCUUUUCUUAGCUUAGUGGCGAACGGGUGAGUAACGCGUGAGUAACCUGCCCUGGAGUGGGGGACAACAGUUAGAAAUAGCUGCUAAUACCGCAUAAGCGCACGGUACCGCAUGGUACAGUGUGAAAAACUCCGGUGGUGUGAGAUGGAUCCGCGUCUGAUUAGGUAGUUGGUGGGGUAACGGCCUACCAAGACGACGAUCAGUAGCCGGACUGAGAGGUUGAACGGCCACAUUGGGACUGAGAUACGGCCCAGACUCC